AGCGAACGUUUGCGGCGGGCCUAACACAUGCAAGUCGAACGCACUAGCAAUAGUGAGUGGCGCACGGGUGCGUAACACGUGGGUAAUCAACCCUUCAGCCUGGGAUAACGACUCGAAAGGGUCGCUAAUACCGGAUAUGGCGCGAGAGGCUUCGGCUUCUCACGAGAAAGCCACGCAAGGGGCACUGAAGGACGAGCCUGCGGCCCAUCAGCUAGUUGGUGAGGUAAGAGCUCACCAAGGCUAAGACGGGUAGCUGGUCUGAGAGGAUGAUCAGCCACACUGGAACUGAGACACGGUCCAGACUCCUACGGGAGGCAGCAGUGGGGAAUAUUGCGCAAUGGGCGAAAGCCUGACGCAGCCACGCCGCGUGAGCGAUGAAGGCCUUGGUCGUAAAGCGUCUGUGGGGAGGAGACGAGAAAGACCGUGUGAAGAGCAGGCCGUUGACGGUAUCUCCCUUAGCAAGCACCGGCUAACCUCC
This 478-nucleotide ribosomal RNA is filed under the name uncultured bacterium. RNAcentral's name for it is "bacterial SSU rRNA". It matches the Rfam family "Bacterial small subunit ribosomal RNA", at positions 29 to 505 of the family's 1533-position model. The record is from RNAcentral.